AGAGUUUGAUCCUGGCUCAGGAUGAACGCUAGCGACAGGCUUAACGACAUGCAAGUCGAGGGGCAGCACGGUGUAGCAAUACACUGGUGGCGACCGGCGCACGGGUGAGUAACACGUGUGCAACAACCCCGUACCGGGAGAUAACCCGCGGAAACGUGGACUAACAUCCCAUAACACUCUAGAGCCGCAUGGUUCUGGAUUUAAAAUUCCGGUGGUACGGGACGGGGCACGCGCGACAUUAGGUAGUUGGCGGGGUAACGGCCCACCAAGCCGACGAUGUCUAGGGGUUCUGAGAGGAAGGUCCCCCACACUGGAACUGAGACACGGUCCAGACUCCUACGGGAGGCAGCA
Molecule: ribosomal RNA, 351 nt
Filed under: uncultured bacterium
Lineage: Bacteria
Description: bacterial SSU rRNA
Rfam family: Bacterial small subunit ribosomal RNA
Source: RNAcentral